RNAcentral lists this ribosomal RNA (620 nucleotides) under uncultured bacterium. Its description in RNAcentral is "bacterial SSU rRNA". It matches the Rfam family "Bacterial small subunit ribosomal RNA", at positions 9 to 644 of the family's 1533-position model. The record is from RNAcentral.
GAGUUUGAUCCUGGCUCAGGACGAACGCUGGCGGCACGCUUAACACAUGCAAGUCGAACGGACUUGAGAGAGCUUGCUCUCUCAAGUUAGUGGCGGACGGGUGAGUAACACGUGAGCAACCUGCCUUUAAGAGUGGGAUAACGGUCGGAAACGACCGCUAAUACCGCAUAAUAUACAUGAAUCGCAUGGUUUGUGUAUCAAAGAUUUAUCGCUUAAAGAUGGGCUCGCGUCUGAUUAGCUGGUUGGUGAGGUAACGGCUCACCAAGGCGACGAUCAGUAGCCGUACUGAGAGGUAGAACGGCCACAUUGGGACUGAGACACGGCCCAGACUCCUACGGGAGGCAGCAGUGGGGAAUAUUGCACAAUGGAGGAAACUCUGAUGCAGCGAUGCCGCGUGAGGGAAGAAGGUUUUCGGAUUGUAAACCUCUGUCUUAAGGGACGAUAAUGACGGUACCUUAGGAGGAAGCUCCGGCUAACUACGUGCCAGCAGCCGCGGUAAUACGUAGGGAGCGAGCGUUGUCCGGAAUUACUGGGUGUAAAGGGAGUGUAGGCGGGAUGGUAAGUUAGGUGUGAAAUGCGGAGGCUCAACCUCCGAGCUGCACUUAAAACUGCUGUUCUUG